Non-coding RNA from Cucurbita pepo subsp. pepo (vegetable marrow), 924 nucleotides. The record is from RefSeq and is a predicted model, not a curated record. Lineage: Eukaryota; Viridiplantae; Streptophyta; Magnoliopsida; Cucurbitales; Cucurbitaceae.
CUUCACUGUCCACUCCAAAACUACAUAUCAACCUUCAGUUCUUCUGUACCACAAAAAUCUUCACGUGCCCAACAUAAACCAGAUUUGUUUGUUCAGAUGGGAAGUUUUCCAUACCUGAAAUCAUUGUGGAUUCUAUGAUUAUCAAAAGCAGGACAAAGCAUUCUUGGUGGAAUAGUAGCCUGUCUGCGAAGGCAACCAGUUGAAUUUGAGUUUCCCCUGUUUUGUCAUUUUCCCUUGUUUCAAACCUGUAAAAAGCCAAUCAAACUCAAACAAUUAACCAAAACACACAUUAAAAUCAGUAAACAGAAGGCUCCCCUAAAGAAGAUCCUGACUUAGAAGCCAGUGCCACCAUCUUCCUUUAUGUUACUUUACUUCUAUUACUUUCCUCCCUGACUUCUCUUUUGGCAGGAAUUCAUCGGGGAAAUGCUUGACCAUAGCCAUGAUGAUUUUGCAGCCCUUCCUUGCUUCAGAGACACUUCUGUAAGUUUUAAAAUCAACAAGUUGGGCAGGUAAUCUCAAUCACCAAGCACACUCACUCCCUGUGGUUAGAACCGGAUAGACCCUCUCGAGUCUCAGCUCAACUUUAGCAUUUUCUUUUGAACUAUUUGUCUAACGCAGUUUUUCAUUCAUCCCUCUCCUGCAACCCAUUGAUUCUAUUGAUCCAGUCCUUGUAGAAGAAUCUAAAUAGUGGUGUGACUUCUAAACUAAUCUUCUGUAGUUCUCUUUAGUAUAAAUAAAAGUCCCGUUUCUGCCCAUAAAUAGACAUCUCUAUUGCUAACAAAUAACAGGUUCUCUACACUUGUGAAUUAGAGAGGGAGGAAGCCCGCACAUCUUAAUCUCUUCCAUUGAUAUUGACACAUGAGGAAUUAAAGUUUUACAUCCACCAUACUACAAUACAUAGAGGCAAUGCCUCUUCAACCAAAA